AGUGAACGCUGGCGGUAGGCCUAACACAUGCAAGUCGAACGGCAGCACAGUAAGAGCUUGCUCUUACGGGUGGCGAGUGGCGGACGGGUGAGGAAUACAUCGGAAUCUACUUUUUCGUGGGGGAUUACGUAGGGAAACUUACGCUAAUACCGCAUAUGACCUACGGGUGAAAGCAGGAGAUCUUCGCACCUUGCGCGUUUGAUUGAGCCGAUGUCGGAUUAGCUAGUUGGCGGGGUAAAGGCCCACCAAGGCGACGAUCCGUAGCUGGUCUGAGAGGAUGAUCAGCCACACUGGAACUGAGACACGGUCCAGACUCCUACGGGAGGCAGCAGUGGGGAAUAUUGGACAAAGGGCGCAAGCCUGAUGCAGCCAUACCGCGUGGGUGAAGAAGGCCUUCGGGUUGUAAAGCCCUUUUGUUGGGAAAGAAAAGCAGCAGGUUAAUACCCCGCUGUUCUGACGGUACCCAAAGAAUAAGCACCGGCUAACUUCGUG
RNAcentral lists this ribosomal RNA (492 nucleotides) under uncultured bacterium. RNAcentral's name for it is "partial 16S ribosomal RNA". It matches the Rfam family "Bacterial small subunit ribosomal RNA", at positions 29 to 507 of the family's 1533-position model. The record is from RNAcentral.